Cyprinus carpio (common carp) is the source of this 1524-nucleotide long non-coding RNA. The record is from Ensembl. NCBI's taxonomy places the organism in Eukaryota, Metazoa, Chordata, Actinopteri, Cypriniformes, Cyprinidae.
AUUUAAUUAACCCUUGUUUCACUGUGCUAAAUUAUCAUGUGCGAAAUGGUUGUAUUAUUAAACGUUGUUAUAAUUUUAGACAGUUUUGAACUACGUGUUUGAAACCAACAAAACCACAAGUAAAAAAAAAAAAAUACUAAGUACCACAAUUACCAUGCAAUUAGACUUUUGACUUGAAAUCUGAGAUACAGCCCUGAGUGAGAGAAAAUGAUUACCCAACUUCUGGCCUGUAGUUGAAUGACUGCAAUCUACAAGAUGGUUCCAUUGAUUGAAGUUUAAUAUCUUUAAAAAAUUUCUGAUAAAUCAAACACAUUUUAGUCCAACUAGUCAUCCAGCAGUGACAUUGUUUUAAUAACUUUCCAACAAGGAAGGUAUUUUGAUGCGAGACUAUUUUCAGGUUAUUGUUUCCACGUGAACCAUGAGGGAAGGUGAGUGUAGAGCGUCCAGGGCUCGAGUAUCGUGAAACUGGUCGGGCAGGUAGAUAUGACACUGGCAUUCCUCCACUGAGACUAAAAGAGGGAGGAUAAGAGGGCAGUCCUAACUAUGUCUUGAAAAGCAGGUCAGAAAUAGAAAAGAGGGUCUCAUUUUUCCUUUGGGACUGUAGAGACAGGUUGAAAUCCCACCCAUCCUAAUAUAUAGACACUUUGGAACUAACCAUAGUUCUCACUCCUGUGUCUAAUGGCAGACAAUGACACGAAUGACCCUCCUCCACCAUACUACUCCAUGUUCACACAGAAACCUGUGCCGUACUAUGUUCCAAAGGAUCCAGCACAAGUAGCAGCCGUCAUCGUCACACAGCAUGUUGUUGGUAUGUACUGAAUCACUUCAGUCACUCAAGUUUGGUGCUACUGAAAAAAAAAAAGAAAAGAAAAAAAAAAAAAAAACGCUUUCUACAUAAUCUGCUCUUGCUAAUUGAAGCUAAUAUAUGCAAAGUGUUUUUACAAACUGAUCGUAAUCAAAACAGAGAGGACAAAUGACAAAUUAACCUUCACCAAUCAUAGAGCAGAAUCUGCCAUUGUGUCCGACAAACAAACCAGACAGGAGAGUAAAUUAAAGGGAUAGCUCACAAAAAAAAUUACAAUUACCCCAUGAUUUAGGCCAACUUAGGUGAAUAAGACUUUCUUCUUGAAACUUGAAAAAUGUGUGUGUGUGUGUGUGUGUGUGUGUGUGUGUGUGUGUGUGUGUGUGUGUGUGUGUGUACUUACAUAUUUCCGUGGGUGAAACUGAAACAAGAUACCUUCUGAUGUUCAUACAUGUUUACUUCAUGCCAUAACUAGUUAAGAGGAAGAGAUGAUCGGUUAGUUAAUUUCACAGCUCUAAAUUUGAUUUGUAUGAUGGAUCCUCACACAACCUAUAUAUUAUUUAGCUAAAUUAAUCAUUUGUUUAAUUUACUAAUUUGUGGCCACACUGUACUAAUUUGUUUCCUCUUUUUAAUUUAGAUAAAUCAUGGUGAUGAUUUAACUAAAAUGAGAAAAAUCUGUAAUUAAUUUCUGCUUAAUUGUGUGAGCAAAUUCUUAAUUAAUG